This 409-nucleotide ribosomal RNA is filed under the name uncultured Acidobacteriota bacterium. RNAcentral describes it as "uncultured Acidobacteria bacterium partial 16S ribosomal RNA". It matches the Rfam family "Bacterial small subunit ribosomal RNA", at positions 173 to 557 of the family's 1533-position model. The record is from RNAcentral. Lineage: Bacteria; Pseudomonadati; Acidobacteriota.
CAUCCCGCCUAUGAAGAGGCGGARAUCAAAGCCGGGGACCUGCAAGGCCUGGCGCUCAAAGAGGGGCCCGCGCCUGAUUAGCUAGUUGGUGAGGNAAUGGCUCACCAAGGCAACGAUCAGUAUCCGGCCUGAGAGGGCGGACGGACACACUGGGACUGAGACACGGCCCANACUCCUACGGGAGGCAGCAGUGGGGAAUUGCUCGCAAUGGGCGCAAGCCUGACGACGCAACGCCNGCGUGGAGGGUGAAGACCUUCGGGUCGUAAACUCCUUUCGAUCGAGACGAAYGGCCCUUGGGUAAACAGCUCAAGGGUAUGACNGUACNCGAGAGAAGAGGCCCCGGCUAACUCCGUGCCACCAAGCCGCCGGUAAUACCKGNGGGGGCAAGCGGHUGCUCGGGAAUUACUGG